GUUUGAUCAUGGCUCAGAACGUACGCUGGCGGCACGCCUAACACAUGCAAGUCAGACGCAGUAGCAAUACUGAGUGGCAAACGGGUGAGUAUAAUGUGGGAAUCUGCCUUUUGGUUUGGAAUAACACGAGGAAACUUGUGCUAAUACCGGAUAAGCCCUUACGGGGAAAGUUUUAACGCCGAAAGAUGAGCCUGCACUUGAUUAGCUAGUUGGUAAGGUAAAGGCUUACCAAGGCAACGAUCAAUAGCUGUUCUUAGAGGAAGACCAGCCACAUUGGGACUGAGACACGGCCCAGACUCCUACGGGAGGCAGCAGUGGGGAAUCUUGCACAAUGGGGGAAACCCUGAUGCAGCGAUGCCGCGUGAGUGAAGAAGGCCCUUGGGUUGUAAAACUCUUUCGUCGGGGAAGAAAAUGACUGUACCCGAAUAAGAAGGUCCGGCUAACUUCGUGCCAGCAGCCGCGGUAAUACGAAGGGACCUAGCGUAGUUCGGAAUUACUGGGCUUAAAGAGCUCGUAGGUGGUUAAAAAAGUUGAUGGUGAAAUCCCAAGGCUCAACCUUGGAACUGCCAUCAAAACUUUUUAGCUAGAGUGUGAUAGAGGUAAGUGGAAUUUCUAGUGUAGAGGUGAAAUUCGUAGAUAUUAGAAAGAACACCAAAUGCGAAGGCAACUUACUGGGUCACUACUGACACUGAGGAGCGAAAGCAUGGGUAGCGAAGAGGAUUAGAUACCCUCGUAGUCCAUGCCGUAAACGAUGUGUGCUAGACGUUGGAAAUAUAUUUUUCAGUGUCGCAGCGAAAGCAUUAAGCACACCGCCUGGGGAGUACGACCGCAAGGUUAAAACUCAAAUGAAUUGACGGGGACCCGCACAAGCAG
This 873-nucleotide ribosomal RNA is filed under the name uncultured Alphaproteobacteria bacterium. RNAcentral describes it as "bacterial SSU rRNA". It matches the Rfam family "Bacterial small subunit ribosomal RNA", at positions 11 to 932 of the family's 1533-position model. The record is from RNAcentral. Lineage: Bacteria; Pseudomonadati; Pseudomonadota; Alphaproteobacteria.